AUCACCUCUAGCAUUUCCAGUAUUAGAGGCACUGCCUGCCCAGUGACAUCUGUUUAAACGGCCGCGGUAUCCUAACCGUGCAAAGGUAGCAUAAUCACUUGUUCCCUAAAUAGGGACUUGUAUGAAUGGCCACACGAGGGUUUUACUGUCUCUUACUUCCAAUCAGUGAAAUUGACCUUCCCGUGAAGAGGCGGGAAUGACUAAAUAAGACGAGAAGACCCUAUGGAGCUUUAAUUAACUGAUUCACAAAAAACAACACACAAACCUAACCUUCAGGGACAACAAAACUUUUGAUUGAAUCAGCAAUUUCGGUUGGGGUGACCUCGGAGAACAAAACAACCUCCGAGUGAUUUAAAUCCAGACUAACCAGUCAAAAUAUAUAAUCACUUAUUGAUCCAAACCAUUGAUCAACGGAACAAGUUACCCUAGGGAUAACAGCGCAAUCCUAUUCCAGAGUCCAUAUCGACAAUUAGGGUUUACGACCUCGAUGUUGGAUCAAGACAUCCUAAUGGUGCAACCGCUAUUAAGGGUUCGUUUGUUCAACGAUUAAAGUCUUAC
RNAcentral lists this ribosomal RNA (558 nucleotides) under Equus caballus (horse). RNAcentral describes it as "partial 16S ribosomal RNA". It matches the Rfam family "Bacterial large subunit ribosomal RNA", at positions 1815 to 2599 of the family's 2925-position model. The record is from RNAcentral. Lineage: Eukaryota; Metazoa; Chordata; Mammalia; Perissodactyla; Equidae.